AUACUUACCUGGCAGGGGAGAUACUGUGAUUAAGAAUGAGGUUCACCCAGCCAUUGCACUCGGGCUGUGCUGACCCCUGUGAAAUCCCCAGAUGUGGGAAUCUCGACUAUAUAAUUUCUGGUAGUGGGGAAUUGCAUUUGCUCUCUCCCUU
This is a small nuclear RNA of 151 nucleotides. Its record names the gene U1. It matches the Rfam family "U1 spliceosomal RNA". From Rfam's summary of the family: U1 is a small nuclear RNA (snRNA) component of the spliceosome (involved in pre-mRNA splicing). Its 5' end forms complementary base pairs with the 5' splice junction, thus defining the 5' donor site of an intron. The record is from Ensembl.